Molecule: long non-coding RNA, 1569 nt
Organism: Gossypium arboreum
Lineage: Eukaryota; Viridiplantae; Streptophyta; Magnoliopsida; Malvales; Malvaceae
Exons: 2
Source: RefSeq, a predicted model, not a curated record
AUCCCAGCACAAACAGAAAAAAAAAGCAAAUAAACCCAACAGACCCAUUAAAGGCAUCUAGAAGGCAAAAAAAAAAAAAAAAGGGAAAAAACCCCUAAAAUGCAGCAAACAAGAAAACACACGGAAGCCAAAACUCUCCAAUGCCAAAAGGUAGACCGAGAUAUGUAAGACAAUGGAGAGGCAAAGGACGAAGUAGGUCAAAGGAUUACAGGGAUAUUGCUUCGAAGAACCACACAAUGGCAAAGUGCUAAUCGGGAGGGUCGAUCCACCACCUAUCGGUAGCUACUGCAGAUUCAAUCUCCGACGGAACCCGCUCCACCGAGAACUGGUCAUGAGCCCAUCGAAAACCUAGAGACACAAGUAGGUGAGCAAUGGUAUUUUGUUCCCUGUAACAAUGUUUGAUGGCGAGAACGAUGAAACCGGUAAGCAAACAGUGCUGACCUUCCUUGAUAAGAGCUGAAAUUUUUGACCUGUCUUCUGUUUUGGAGUAGAGCUUUCGAAUAACUGUCAACGAAUCCCCUCAAAAACAACUCUCUUCAAACUGAGGUCAUGAGCAAACUCCACAACCCAAGUAAAAGCUAAUGCCUCUACAGUGAAAGCGAAUGAGACAUGGCGGUGAAGUUGUGUGCAGGCACCCAACACCUGGCCGUAUGCGUCCCCUGUACGUAGCAUUGAAGUUUGCCUUUACGAAAAGCUCAAUUGCAAGGUUCCACGACUCAGCACGUGAACCCACUGUAGCCCCAACAGUCCCAUCGAGGGCAGUCAGAUCUUAGAGAUACGAAUGAAUAAGGGAAAUGACAUUCAGAGAAGUGUGGGUAAUCCCAUCAUGGUACCUACGAUUCCUCGACAUCCAGACGGCCAAAAUCAUCGUAAGUAUCAACUCUAUCAAGUCCUCAGAAUAAGUUGUAAACAAGAAACCGAGCUAACUAACAAAAUCUGCAUCGUUGUAUGACACAAGCCAAGUGAUCUAUAGGUUCUCCCAUAUCGAAGCUGUUAAAGGGCAAUACCGUAUAACAUGGUAAGUUGUCUCAAGGACGGUUUGACAUUUAGAACAAUACUGAUUUGUAGAAAAGUGUUUGUUGUAGAGUGUAGAUAGAGUAGGGACAUAGUUAUGGUAGAAGCGCCAAGUCGUAAUAUGCACUUUAGGUGGGACUCUAGCUUUCCACAAUGUUGUGAAAAGAACUCUAGAACACAUAGUAGGGCUACGACUAGUAUAGGAAUAGUUCAUAUGCGCAGAAGAAAUGAACAUUUUGUAACCACUACGGACUGUAUAGAAACCUGUUGGGUCCCCUUUCCAAACAAGCAUGUCAUUGCAGGCAAAACGUGAGAGGAAUACUUAAGAUCCGGUCGGCUUUAUUUUCGAAAUACAGGGACCUCACCAAGUUGCCACUACUCGGAAGCCACCAAUAAUUUUAAAUGGAAAUGGAUCGUCCAUUGCCCACCCGCCGACCAAGGUCCUUCUCUAACAAACCCCGAGAGCUCCAGAUGCUAUGCCAGGUAAAAGACGGGUGAAACCCCAAACUUGUAUGCAAAAAAUCCACUAUAUGAAAAUAUUUGGCUUUAAAAACA